RNAcentral lists this ribosomal RNA (481 nucleotides) under uncultured bacterium. Its description in RNAcentral is "partial 16S ribosomal RNA". It matches the Rfam family "Bacterial small subunit ribosomal RNA", at positions 28 to 501 of the family's 1533-position model. The record is from RNAcentral.
GACGAACGCUGGCGGCGUGCUUAACACAUGCAAGUCGAACGAUGAACCCGGAGCUUGCUCCGGUGGAUUAGUGGCGAACGGGUGAGUAACACGUGAGUAACCUGCCCUUGACUCUGGGAUAACUGCGGGAAACUGUAGCUAAUACCGGAUACGACCCUCGGCGGCAUCGCCAGGGGGUGGAAAGAAUUUCGGUCAAGGAUGGACGCGCGGCCUAUCAGCUAGUUGGUGAGGUAACGGCUCAACAAGGCGACGACGGGUAGCCGGCCUGAGAGGGUGGCCGGCCGCACUGGGACUGAGACACGGCGCAGACUCCUACGGGAGGCAGCAGUGGGGAAUUUUCGACAAUGGGGGCAACCCUGAUCCAGCAAUGCCGCGUGAUUGAAGAAGGCCUUCGGGUUGUAAAGCUCUUUUGUCAGGGAAGAAACAGCAGCUCUAACACAGUUUGCGAAUGACGGUACCUGAAGAAUAAGCACCGGCUAAC